UACAGAGACUGCGAGCGUUAUUCGGAUUCACUGGGCGUAAAGGGUGCGCAGGCGGCCAAGUGUGUGAGGCGUGAAAGCCCGGGGCUUAACCCCGGAAUCGCACCUCAAACUACAUGGCUAGAGCAUUGGAGAGGGUAGCAGAAUUCAUGGUGUAGCAGUGAAAUGCGUAGAUAUCAUGAGGAAUACCAGAGGCGAAGGCGGCUACCUGGACAAUUGCUGACGCUCAGGCACGAAAGCGUGGGGAGCAAAAGGG
This 253-nucleotide ribosomal RNA is filed under the name uncultured bacterium. Its description in RNAcentral is "partial 16S ribosomal RNA". It matches the Rfam family "Bacterial small subunit ribosomal RNA", at positions 524 to 776 of the family's 1533-position model. The record is from RNAcentral.